GGUUUUGUGGUGUAGUUGGUUAUCACGUCAGUCUAACACGCAGAUGUUUUUCGGUUCAAGUCCGGGCGAAGCCA
Ipomoea nil (Japanese morning glory) is the source of this 74-nucleotide transfer RNA. It matches the Rfam family "tRNA". Rfam says of the family: Transfer RNA (tRNA) molecules are approximately 80 nucleotides in length. Their secondary structure includes four short double-helical elements and three loops (D, anti-codon, and T loops). The record is from Rfam. Lineage: Eukaryota; Viridiplantae; Streptophyta; Magnoliopsida; Solanales; Convolvulaceae.